Molecule: small RNA, 587 nt
Filed under: Pan troglodytes (chimpanzee)
Lineage: Eukaryota; Metazoa; Chordata; Mammalia; Primates; Hominidae
Description: retained intron
Source: RNAcentral
AAUUGCAUCAUCAGCAGAUGGCGGAUCCAGACUUGUUGGAAGAGUCCUCAUCCCUCUUGGAGCCAAGUGAGAUGGGAAGAGGCACGCCUUUAAGACUUGGCUUCGUGGCUGGUGUCAUUAACCGGGAGCGCAUCCCUACUUUUGAGCGCAUGCUUUGGCGGGUAUGCCGGGGAAAUGUGUUCCUGCGACAGGCUGAAAUCGAGAACCCCCUGGAGGAUCCUGUGACUGUAAGACAAGGAGAUUGCAUCCUGUGGAGUAGGUCUUGUAAAGGGAGCCCAGAGCAGUAACAUAGCAUGGGGCCACCUGAAUCCAGUGCUUCCACAGAGGAGCCAUUAUCUUUAGCUCUGCUCUAAUUGGAGAAUUUGAAGUACUUCCUCUUAGUUAAUUCCUGUCAUAUAUACAUAUGGAUGUAUGAUGUAUACAUGACAUAUACAUAUUUUCAAGUUUACCCGUGUAGAUGUUAUUCUGAUUGGAAAUUUUUAUUUUCACUCAUUUGCCUUUUAUGAAAAUUAACUUUAAAGCAAGACAUCUGGUUCCAAAUUUGGUAAUUUUUUUUUUUUUGAGGUGGAGUCUCACUCUGUUGUCCA